GCUUGUCUCAAAGAUUAAGCCAUGCAUGUCUAAGUGUAAAUAAGUCUAUACUGUGAAACUGCGAAUGGCUCAUUAAAUCAGUUAUCGUUUAUUUGAUGAUCUCUUACUACUUGGAUAACCGUAGUAAUUCUAGAGCUAAUACAUGCGUCAAGUCCCUACCGCGCGAGCGGGAAGGAUGUGUUUAUUAGAUACAAUCAACCCUUCGGGUGCUUGGUGAAUCAUAAUAACCGAACGAACCGCAUGCGCAAGCGGCGGUGGUUCAUUCAAGUUUCUGCCCUAUCAGCUUUCGAUGGUAGGGUAUUGGCCUACCAUGGCUUUAACGGGUAACGGAGAAUUAGGGUUCGAUUCCGGAGAGGGAGCCUGAGAGAUGGCUACCACAUCCAAGGAAGGCAGCAGG
Molecule: ribosomal RNA, 397 nt
Filed under: uncultured Bicosoecida
Lineage: Eukaryota; Bigyra; Bicosoecida
Description: partial small subunit ribosomal RNA
Rfam family: Eukaryotic small subunit ribosomal RNA
Source: RNAcentral